This is a non-coding RNA of Bos taurus (domestic cattle), 72 nucleotides long. Lineage: Eukaryota; Metazoa; Chordata; Mammalia; Artiodactyla; Bovidae. The record is from Rfam.
UCCCUGGUGGUUCAGUAGUGGAGAAUCUGCCCUGCAAAGCAGGGCACUCAGGUUCAAUUCCUGCUCAGGGAA